CGUAGCCGCGCCGCGUGUCGCCUCACCCCUCCCUCUAGAGCUCUCCCUGCGGCUAUUUAAGCACGCCUGGAGGUUCAUUGCGGUCCUCAACCCCUCCCAAGCCUCUCCCCUGAGCUUCCGAGCCUCCUCUCGCCCGCCAUUGCCGUCAUGGACGCCUCCUUGGUCCUGCUAAAUUGAAGCGACCAGAGCCACCCCUCCACUCCCUGACCGCACCCACAUCUUUCCCAUGCUCCGGUGAUCCUCCCCAGACCCUCACCUCGUCACCGGAGUACCUAAAGCCUCCGCCCCCAAGAUCCAGUGCCGCCGCGGUCGCUCUCCUUUCCGGUGGCGAUCUCCUCCCCGCGCCUCCCCAGCAGCCGCCCUUCCUCUGAAUGGAUGCGGCGGGCCACGCCUAGCUACCGCGCCACGGCCGGAGACGACCGGAGUCGGCCGGCCCCCUCGCCUGAAGCUCGCCUCUGCCUCGCCUGGUCCUCCUCUGUUCCACGCGAAGAACACAGGGAGGAAGAAGACGAGCGCCCGACCCCCUUCCCCUGCGCCUGGGCCCCACGCGCUAGUGGCCCAGCGCCCUGCUGACGUGGAUAAGUGGACACGGCUUCUGCCCGUGCACAAUUUCAUCCAACGAAAGCGUAUUUUCUCUCUGCUUCAGCUCAAAGGACCCGUAUGUGGAUAUUCUUUUUGCAAAAAAGUCCCUGAUUUUCAUCACUUUAUAACUCCGCAACCGUAACUCCGAUUGAGGCCCCCUCCGAGAGAGAACUGUUUCUGGCAAAUCUUUCUGCGAUCGUUCCGCACUUUUUCCGGAGUAUUUGUCGACCCCAGGCAAGCCAACCAAUUAUCUUGAGCCCCGAACUUGCAUGUUGACUUUGCUUGCACCUCGUGUGUGUGUUUAGUUGCAGUAGUUUCUUGUCUGUUCCGUCUCCUAUUAUUUUAGUCGUGCUAUAUGUUUUGUUAUCUGUCUUGCAUGCUUAUGCGUUCAUGAAAUAGGUUGACAUGCUAGU
This is a non-coding RNA of Triticum urartu, 995 nucleotides long. NCBI's taxonomy places the organism in Eukaryota, Viridiplantae, Streptophyta, Magnoliopsida, Poales, Poaceae. The record is from RefSeq and is a predicted model, not a curated record.